Molecule: ribosomal RNA, 566 nt
Filed under: uncultured bacterium
Lineage: Bacteria
Description: partial 16S ribosomal RNA
Rfam family: Bacterial small subunit ribosomal RNA
Source: RNAcentral
UGGGGAAUAUUGGACAAUGGGCGAAAGCCUGAUCCAGCAAUGCCGCGUGUGUGAAGAAGGCCUUCGGGUUGUAAAGCACUUUUGUCCGGAAAGAAAUCCUUGGCUCUAAUACAGUCGGGGGAUGACGGUACCGGAAGAAUAAGCACCGGCUAACUACGUGCCAGCAGCCGCGGUAAUACGUAGGGUGCAAGCGUUAAUCGGAAUUACUGGGCGUAAAGCGUGCGCAGGCGGUUUGCUAAGACCGAUGUGAAAUCCCCGGGCUCAACCUGGGAACUGCAUUGGUGACUGGCAGGCUAGAGUAUGGCAGAGGGGGGUAGAAUUCCACGUGUAGCAGUGAAAUGCGUAGAGAUGUGGAGGAAUACCGAUGGCGAAGGCAGCCCCCUGGGCCAAUACUGACGCUCAUGCACGAAAGCGUGGGGAGCAAACAGGAUUAGAUACCCUGGUAGUCCACGCCCUAAACGAUGUCAACUAGUUGUUGGGGAUUCAUUUCCUUAGUAACGUAGCUAACGCGUGAAGUUGACCGCCUGGGGAGUACGGUCGCAAGAUUAAAACUUAAAGGAAUUGAC